GAGGAUUUAUUAUUUGUAAGGGAAAUAUGUUGCAUGAUGUUCUUACUUGGUUAAUUUCGCCUAUUGAAUGCCACGUUAAUCUGCAUUCAUAAUUGUUUUUGAAAUAAUCCGGUAACAGCGAAAAACAGUGGCUACAAAGUUUUUCUGUGCCACCUUUUUUUACGUAAUUUGAUGUAAUGUUGGGUAGUAAUGCAAAAUACCAUAAUUUAAGUAUUUUUUUAUAAAUUUCGCGGUGAUUGUUCGACAGUACUCCAUCAAUAUCGCCAAUGUGCCUUACGUUCGGGUCUUGUUAAAUAUAAUUAUAAAAAUGAUACUCAGGUGGAGUUUAAUUUCUACAUUUUUUCCUACUUUACUUGCUGGUUUUCUUCAAAGAAAUCUGGUCAGUAUUAAAAUAUCUUCUGAACCUAACGGUUCAGCUAAAAUUAAAAGGAAUAUACUGCCUUAAAAAUGGAUUGUGGUGUAAAGUUCGAGGAGAGAAAAAAUUUAGGAUGGAGGGCUCCAUGGGACUUUGUUCUCGGAGGAGCUUUUGCGCUUUUAACAAUUGCUUGUGGAACACGAAUUCAGUGUCCACUAUAUUGGUCGUUGUUUAAUGCUGAUGAGCAAAACGAGUUGAAAGAUAAUUUUUAAGAACAGUUCCUUGAUUAAGAGCUGUAUGGAGCUUUUCAUAUAAGGGACCGCUUUUGUGCCUUAUUCAAUAAUAAGGGUGGAUACUUCUAUUUGAAAGUGAUUGCAAAUGGCCAGGUUAAAUGGUUAGAUAAUGGUAAAAGGGAGGCUGUGCCGAAAAUGAAUUUUGUCAGGCAUAACGGAAAAAAAAUUCGCUGGGCAGACGACUGGGCCUGGGAUGUGAGGCGAUUUAGAUGGUCCCGAAUGCAAACGGUGGCAAAACAGUUAAGCGGCAAACACGGUUUGACUGAGAAUUAUAUUGUCGCACGUAGCUUAUGGCGAAUUGUAAAUGGACAAUUCAGUGAGGUUGGACAUAAGAAUAUAAGAUGGCAGGAUCAAUAAAAAUCUGAAUCAAAAAUUUAAUUUUAUGUGACAUAUAUAUCGUUUAGAAGGAAGGACCAUAAAAAAGACUUCCCACUUGUAAUAAUAAAUAAGAAAAAUUAACUUGUACUUAUUUAGCUAUAUUAGGGCUUUUUACUUUUUAUAUGUUUUUUCUUG
Molecule: long non-coding RNA, 1161 nt
Organism: Belonocnema kinseyi
Lineage: Eukaryota; Metazoa; Arthropoda; Insecta; Hymenoptera; Cynipidae
Exons: 5
Source: RefSeq, a predicted model, not a curated record